UACGUAGGGUGCAAGCGUUGUCCGGAAUUAUUGGGCGUAAAGAGCUCGUAGGCGGUUUGUCGCGUCGGCUGUGAAAACCCGGGGCUCAACCCCGGGCCUGCAGUCGAUACGGGCAAACUAGAGUGUGGUAGGGGAGACUGGAAUUCCUGGUGUAGCGGUGAAAUGCGCAGAUAUCAGGAGGAACACCGGUGGCGAAGGCGGCCGCCUGGACCUGACCUGACGCUGAGGCGCGAAAGCUAGGGGAGCAAACGGG
RNAcentral lists this ribosomal RNA (253 nucleotides) under uncultured bacterium. Its description in RNAcentral is "partial 16S ribosomal RNA". It matches the Rfam family "Bacterial small subunit ribosomal RNA", at positions 524 to 776 of the family's 1533-position model. The record is from RNAcentral.